Molecule: unclassified non-coding RNA, 257 nt
Filed under: Phylloporus sp.
Lineage: Eukaryota; Fungi; Basidiomycota; Agaricomycetes; Boletales; Boletaceae
Description: partial contains small subunit ribosomal RNA, internal transcribed spacer 1, and 5.8S ribosomal RNA
Rfam family: Eukaryotic small subunit ribosomal RNA (bases 1-46)
Source: RNAcentral
AAGUCGUAACAAGGUUUCCGUAGGUGAACCUGCGGAAGGAUCAUUAACAAAUCGUGUGUAAGCGACAGUCAUGGUUAUGCUGCUGCUUAUAUAUAUACAUAUUUACCCGUACUAGCCGGACGAGCUAGAUUACAGGUUCUUUGGUGGUCUCUCUGGUGUACUGCCAAGAUAUAUUAACGCUUGAUUGUUUGACAGAGUGAGUAACAUGCCAUAUUAAUAAGAUACAACAACUUUUAACAAUGGAUCUCUUGGCUCUU